Molecule: long non-coding RNA, 1523 nt
Organism: Xenopus laevis (African clawed frog)
Lineage: Eukaryota; Metazoa; Chordata; Amphibia; Anura; Pipidae
Exons: 2
Source: RefSeq, a predicted model, not a curated record
GAGGGGUUCUAGACUGCCCAAUGACCUUCAAAUAUACUUUGAAUUAGGCCAUUAGUGGUCGAUUCUCGUUUUUAUUUUCAUAUUGUGACAAAUAGGAAAUUUGAAAUUUACACAAAGUUUCAGGCUUUUUAGGCUGAUGUAGGUCAAAGCAAAGAGCGUUCAUAUUGUUGCCGAUUGGCCAUGAAUUCAUGAAAAAGAAAGUGUGGAUCAGUUUAUACCUAAUGUAAUUAGUGUGAUACCUAUUUAAAAAGUGCAAAUUGCUCUCAUACCAGCAUACCAGGAAAUGUUGAGGGUAGAGUGGCCAUAUUUAAUGAGCAUGGCAAAUACUGUUCAACUUCUGAUCUGAAGUAAUAGGGAGUUUGUCAUGUUACAAUAACAAAGUAUAUUUACUCUGUAAUCCAAGUUCCAGCACAGUAGAGUAAAGCCCUAAUUUUUUCACUUCUGUAACCGACAAACAAGACCAAUAUCUUACAGUGUAUGUAUUGCAUUGAAAAGCCAUUUUAAGCAUCUGUUUUUUAGACUUGACUUUUUAUGCAAACAAAAUUACUCGGGGUCCCCACUCUUGUUAAUGAUGUAUUUAUAGAUUGUGUAAAUUAGCCUUGAUAUUUUUUGGCAUUCAAUACUUUCUAUUUAUUCUGGCUAAUAUUUUGGGUUUCUUUUUUUACUUUUCUUGUCAUUUCUGUCAUAAUUUCUGCUAAACAAAUGUUCCUAUUUUAUAUUAAUUUACAAAGUAAAAAUGCCUUUGCUUCCUUAUAUCUCCGAUAAAGUCACACGGGGUGAUAUUGCUAUAGAGAUGUUGGUCCAGCUGUGUUGGGAGCUUCUCUUGGCUUGGGUGGCGGGCCUGCUCCCUGGAACUACUACUGAUAUCAAGGAAGGUUCACAUAACUGGUUGUACAUUAAUAAACAAAUAUCUUUGAGUGGUAUUGGUUUUUUUUCAGGUUUCCGUAGUUUAAUGUAUUCAGGAAAGAAGGAGGACUCUCCUGCAAGAGAUUGUGUUCCCCAACACCCUUUUGGGGCUUCAGGCUUUCUAUGAAAACUCUGACUCAAUUCAGGUGACCUGUUCACUAGAUUUUGAAGGCUAGCCAGAGGAAUACUUUCAAUAUUGCUAAGCGUCUGAAGAAUUGACCAAAAAGGCAUGUUUUCUGAGCAGCCCAUAAUAGUUUCUACAGCUGUUAACAGUUCACAGAAUAAAGAGCGUAUUAUUCAUCCGCGCAUAAAAUGUGCAUGACUUACAUUGUAGAGAAGUCAAAAUUUCGGCCUUGAACCUCGGCCAGGAAAAUCUUUAAAAAACGUUGUUGUAAUUGCUGCUUGAAGAUCAUGAACGUGACUAUUGUUCGCGGAGAUGUACGGCCUGUACUGUUUUGUUUCUUAUUUAUUCAACAUUCUUCAUUAUAAUGUCCUUUCCCUUUCUGUGCAGACCUGAAAGAUUGUUAUUGAGCUCCUCACAAAAGCUGAACUAACGCUGUGUGUUAAAAAAAUUUUAGUAAUUCGAAGAAGUUAUAAAAAUUUAUAAGUUGGCUGAA